RNAcentral lists this ribosomal RNA (253 nucleotides) under uncultured bacterium. Its description in RNAcentral is "partial 16S ribosomal RNA". It matches the Rfam family "Bacterial small subunit ribosomal RNA", at positions 524 to 776 of the family's 1533-position model. The record is from RNAcentral.
GACGAAGGAUGCAAGCGUUAUCCGGAUUCAUUGGGUUUAAAGGGUGCGUAGGCGGCCCGGUAAGUCAGUGGUGAAAUCUCCUUGCUUAACAAGGAAACUGCCAUUGAUACUGCUGGGCUUGAGUACAGAUGCUGUGGGCGGAAUAUGACAUGUAGUGGUGAAAUACAUAGAGAUGUCAUAGAACACCGAUUGCGAAGGCAGCUCACAAAGCUGUAACUGACGCUGAGGCACGAAAGUGCGGGGAUCAAACAGG